UAGGUCCCGCCCCGCCCCCGCCCCGAACUUCAGCCCUGCUCUCCCCGCGCUCCUCAGCCGGGUCAACGUCCCGCCCCGGCCUCAAGCUCCAGCCACGCCCUUUCCACGGCGGCCCCACAGCGUCCCGGGUGCGGGCUCUCCUCACCUCCGUCGGGCCAACACGCCCAAAACGCUCACCCCGUCCUCAGCUCGGUCGGGCCCAAGGCCCCGCCCCUCCCGCUCCGUUCCCCUCAGCCCAGCCCCAGGCCCCGCCCACCUACUCCUGCGCUAAGUUCUCGCGUGGCCUUUGCCCUCACCCCGAGGGUCGGCUCCCUCGAGCGUCGUCCCUCCACACCUCAGCACCUCCAGGCCGUUUCUAGUAGCCGCGUCCCUCUGGGGGCCGCCCUUCCCUGCACCCCCGCUCACCGGCACGGCCCCCCCUUUUCUCUCUAAAGUCUCGAGUCUGAGGGCCCGUUCACUCCUUCUGCCUUCAACCCUGUCCUGGGCGGGGCUCAGCCUGCGACACGGCCCCGCCCACGCCGGCGGCCCCGCCCACUCCGCCUCACCUGCGCUGGAGCUCCGGCCAACGCCCGCCAGGCGCAGGGCUGUGUGACAACCCCCAUACACCACCGUCCUCACCUCCUCUCCAAGUCAGAUGCAUCUGUCUCAGAGCCCUUGCGCACUGCACUGGGGCCGAGAGCAGCGACCCCACCUGGUAAAGUUGGAGGUCACUGUGCCGUCUAAAUCACGAGGAGACCUGGAUCCCAUUACCUCCCCAAAAUCCUUCGCUCAGUGAGACUGGGUUGGCUGCUUUUCCCAACUUCAUCCUGCUCCUUCUCCUUCUCCUUUCUGUCUUCCUGCCUCCCCCGUCCUCCAUGUGUUCGGCAAUCUCUGAAAUGAAUCCCCAAAUGCCCCUGUCCCCUCCCCAGAUCCUCCACCUUCCUCUCUCUGUGUGCCCAAAGCACUGACUCUGCCCUUUCCUGAGGGCACUGCUCCCAUAUGUCAUUCACGUUCUAGUAACCUCCGAGCAGGGCUCUGAGUGCCCCAGACCUCCUUCGUGUCUGUAUCUGGCAACAGCAAUGGUUUGCUAAGUGAAUGUGCGUGAUUAAUAAAUUGAGCAGCGUUCAUUGGAAAACACAUUUAAUUUCAAAGUAAACAAAGAUGUUUGUACAUUAAAGUAUUUAAUUAGUGAAACAAUUAUUAUCAGUGUAACAAGCUGAAAAAUACAGCAACUUGAUACAAGACUGAGGUAACAAAAUACUUCACCAAAAAUCUAAAGAAUCCCACAGGGGGUUGAUGUUCAGUGGUUAUUGCGGGUGAGACAAUUCACAAGAAUUAGAGAAUGUCCUUACACAACUGCAUGCAGGGGUUCCGCUGGGGGGAAAGAAAAGAAAAAAGACAGCCCAGGAGAGUGCAACAGAUUUAACAAGAAACGAAUUAAAAUGUAGAAACUGAUUUUCAACUUACUUUGCAGGAUACAUAAGAAAUUGAAAACUACUCUCUACGCAACAUUUUGAAUGCUAAUUGAAAAACCAUGCAUUUUGGCACGAAAUUUAUUAAAGAUCAUACCAUACUAAUAAA
Panthera uncia (snow leopard) is the source of this 1560-nucleotide long non-coding RNA. RefSeq lists it as uncharacterized. NCBI's taxonomy places the organism in Eukaryota, Metazoa, Chordata, Mammalia, Carnivora, Felidae. The record is from RefSeq and is a predicted model, not a curated record. The transcript has 3 exons.